Molecule: ribosomal RNA, 492 nt
Filed under: uncultured bacterium
Lineage: Bacteria
Description: partial 16S ribosomal RNA
Rfam family: Bacterial small subunit ribosomal RNA
Source: RNAcentral
AGUGAACGCUGGCGGUAGGCCUAACACAUGCAAGUCGAACGGCAGCACAGUAAGAGCUUGCUCUUACGGGUGGCGAGUGGCGGACGGGUGAGGAAUACAUCGGAAUCUACUUUUUCGUGGGGGAUAACGUAGGGAAACUUACGCUAAUACCGCAUACGACCUACGGGUGAAAGCAGGGGAUCUUCGGACCUUGCGCGAUUGAAUGAGCCGAUGUCGGAUUAGCUAGUUGGCGGGGUAAAGGCCCACCAAGGCGACGAUCCGUAGCGGGUCUGAGAGGAUGAGCAGGCAAACGGGAAGUGAGACACGGUCCAGACCCAUACGGGAGGCAGCAGUGGGGAAUAGUGGACAAUGGGCGAAGGCCUGAUCCAGCCAUGACGCGUGUGGGAAGAAGGGCUUCGGAUCGUAAAGCACGUUAAGGUGGGAGGAAGGGCAGUAAGUUAAUAACUUGCUGUGUUGACGGUACCAACAGAAUAAGCAACGGCUAACUUCGUG